AUGGCCAUGGUCCUGGAUGCCUUUGCAUCAUACGUGCAAAACAUGCUCACGGAGAUGGUGACCGAAGAGGUGCACAUGCUGCUUGGAGUCAGAGACGAGAUCGACAAGAUGGAUGUCAAGCUUAGGGACCUCAAGAACUUCCUCGCCGAUGCUGAUAGAAGAAACAUCACUGACGAGAGCGUCCAAGAGUGGGUGGGCCAGCUCAAGCGCACCAUGUAUGAAGCUACCGCCAUCGUCGACCUCUGCCAGCUCAAGGCCAUGGAGUUGAGUCCAUCCAAACUAGAUGUGGGGUGCUUCAACCCCUUGCUCUUCUGCAUGCGGAAUCCCUCCCAUGCCCACGAAAUCGGCACCCACAUCAAGGCGCUCAACCAGAACCUCGAGACCAUCAAGGAGCGAGGCGCUGCUUUCAGCUUCAUCCCUCUUCGUUCCUAUGUGGAUCAUAGCAGGAAGGUGCAGGACUCUCAUUCUGGCAAUAAGAGACAUGAGACAUCAGGGGUGUUUGACCAGUCGGGUGUAGUAGGAGAGAAGAUCAAACAAGACAUAAGAAAGCUGGUUGAGACUAUGUUGAGUGAAAAGGACGGCAACACCAACAUCAUGGUGGUCGCCAUUGUUGGUGUCGGAGGUAUCGGCAAGACCACGCUUGCCCAGAAGGUCUUCAGUGACGAAGCCUUGAACAAGUUUGAGAAGACAAUAUGGUUGAGCAUCAACAAGGACUUCGACGAGGUUGAAUUGCUCAAGACAAUCAUCACACAAGCGGGGGGAGUACAUGGUGGUGAGAAGGCGUUGGCUGUGCUUCAGCCAAUACUUGCCACUACCUUGAAAGGGAAAAAGCUAUUCUUGGUGCUAGAUGAUGUGUGGAACCAUGGAGCAUGGGAUGAUGUGCUUAAAACACCCUUGGCUAAUGUUGUGGCUCCAGGUAGUCAUGUCCUCAUCACUACUAGAGAUGAAACAAUAGCUCGAAGGAUGAAAGUUGUGCCUCCCUACCACCAUGUGGACAAAUUAGAUGAGGAGGAUGCCUGGUCAUUGCUCAAGAAACAGAUAAUCUCAAGUGAGUUUGAUGGACGUGACAUUGAUAUGCUCAGGGACAUUGGGUUGAAAAUUGUAGCGAAAUGUGAUGGUUUGCCUCUUGCAGUCAAAGUAAUGGGAGGUCUAUUGUGUCAGAAGGACAAAAAACACCAUGAGUGGGAGAUGGUUCUGGCUGAUUCUAUACGGUCGAUAUCUGGAAUGCCCGAAGAGCUAAACCAUGCAAUAUAUUUAAGCUAUGAAGAUUUACCUUCUUGUGCCAAAAAAUGUUUUCUGCAUUUCUCCCUUCUCCCUAAAACUGCACUGUUUGGUAGCCAUGAAAUCAUUGGCAUGUGGAUAAAUGAAGGAUUUCUUCACGGGGCCUCGGAUGACUUAGAAGAACUUGGAAGCAAGUACUAUAAGGAGUUGAUACUGAGGAAUCUUAUAGAGCCAAAUACAAUGUAUAUUGAACAAAAUGUUUGCAACAUGCAUGAUGUUGUGCGCUCAUUUGCUCAAUUUGUGGCUAGAGAUGAGGCACUAGCAGCUCACAGUGGAGAAACAAAUAUUUUUGGUAAACUUAGUGCACAUGAGUUUCUUCGGUUAUCUCUAGAAAGCAAUGCAUCAGAACUAGCUAGAUGGGUUAGACUGGAGUUCUUUGCAAGCAGAAAAGACACUAAGGGUACUAAUAUCAGUUGUCUAUAUAAAUAUCAAGCCUGGUGA
RNAcentral lists this ribosomal RNA (1722 nucleotides) under Triticum aestivum (bread wheat). RNAcentral's name for it is "partial small subunit ribosomal RNA". The record is from RNAcentral. Lineage: Eukaryota; Viridiplantae; Streptophyta; Magnoliopsida; Poales; Poaceae.